GACGAACGCUGGCGGCGUGCCUAAUACAUGCAAGUUGAGCGCUGAAGGUUGGUACUUGUACCAACUGGAUGAGCAGCGAACGGGUGAGUAACGCGUGGGGAAUCUGCCUUUGAGCGGGGGACAACAUUUGGAAACGAAUGCUAAUACCGCAUAAAAACUUUAAACACAAGUUUUAAGUUUGAAAGAUGCAAUUGCAUCACUCAAAGAUGAUCCCGCGUUGUAUUAGCUAGUUGGUGAGGUAAAGGCUCACCAAGGCGAUGAUACAUAGCCGACCUGAGAGGGUGAACGGCCACAUUGGGACUGAGACACGGCCCAAACUCCUACGGGAGGCAGCAGUAGGGAAUCUUCGGCAAUGGACGAAAGUCUGACCGAGGAACGCCGCGUGAGUGAAGAAGGUUUUCGGAUCGUAAAACUCUGUUGGUAGAGAAGAACGUUGGUGAGAGUGGAAAGCUCAUCAAGUGACGGUAACUACCCAGAAAGGGACGGCUAACUACGUG
This 497-nucleotide ribosomal RNA is filed under the name uncultured bacterium. RNAcentral describes it as "partial 16S ribosomal RNA". It matches the Rfam family "Bacterial small subunit ribosomal RNA", at positions 28 to 507 of the family's 1533-position model. The record is from RNAcentral.